UACGUAGGGGGCUAGCGUUGUCCGGAAUCAUUGGGCGUAAAGCGCGUGUAGGCGGUCCGGUAAGUCCGCUGUGAAAGUCGGGGGCUCAACCCUCGAAAGCCGGUGGAAACUGUCGGGCUAGAGUGCGGAAGAGGCGAGUGGAAUUCCUGGUGUAGCGGUGAAAUGCGCAGAUAUCAGGAGGAACACCAGUUGCGAAGGCAGCACGCUGGGACGUCACUGACGCUGAGACGCGAAAGCGUGGGGAGCAAACAGG
RNAcentral lists this ribosomal RNA (253 nucleotides) under uncultured bacterium. RNAcentral's name for it is "partial 16S ribosomal RNA". It matches the Rfam family "Bacterial small subunit ribosomal RNA", at positions 524 to 776 of the family's 1533-position model. The record is from RNAcentral.